Molecule: RNase P RNA, 363 nt
Filed under: chicken gut metagenome
Description: Bacterial RNase P class A
Rfam family: Bacterial RNase P class A
About the family: Ribonuclease P (RNase P) is a ubiquitous endoribonuclease, found in archaea, bacteria and eukarya as well as chloroplasts and mitochondria.
Source: RNAcentral
GACGGCGCAAUUGCGUGAUAUCAAGCCGAAAGGUAUUAUCAUGAGGAAAGUCCGGGCUUCACAGGGCAGGAUAACUGAUAACGUCAGCCGAGGGCGACCUCCGGGAAAGUGCAACAGAGAUAUACCGCCCGCGCAAGCGGGUAAGGAUGGAAAGGCGAGGUAAGAGCUCACCCGUAUCCCGGGUAACCGGGGUAUGCUGUAAACCCUAUCCGAAGCAACACCGUAAGCGAAAGGGGAUAGAAACCACGUUUGCCCGACGGAAUUUCGCAGGUGGCAAAGAACGUUAUGGCGACAUGACGUCAAGAUAGAUAAUUGCGGACGGUUUUUUGACCGUUACAGAACCCGGCUUAUAAGUCCGCUCAU